AAAUAUUAAAUAGAUUAACUAUGUCUGAUUACGGUUCAGGAAGAGGUAUAUUUU
This 54-nucleotide transfer RNA is filed under the name Loa loa (African eye worm). Its description in RNAcentral is "tRNA-Arg". The record is from RNAcentral. Lineage: Eukaryota; Metazoa; Nematoda; Chromadorea; Rhabditida; Onchocercidae.